UUUCGCUUGAUGGCCUUUCCUCCUACAAACAAAACAUGAACCUGGUUCUAAAUAAGGACAAUAAUGAGAGGUAUGUCCCUCACGUCCGCAAACAUAACAUAUCUUCUUCCCUUUCUUCUUAUCAGGUUUUCCUACCUCAGGGUCUUUUAUCUUUCUUUUUCCUUUACCUCUCGGAGCUGCACACGAUGUGUUGCUUGAGGCUCCCAUUUGGUCAAUUUGGAUCUUAAGCUUAUCUUGCUCUU
Molecule: long non-coding RNA, 242 nt
Filed under: Panax ginseng (ginseng)
Lineage: Eukaryota; Viridiplantae; Streptophyta; Magnoliopsida; Apiales; Araliaceae
Description: long non-coding RNA (PGIN_LNC011350)
Source: RNAcentral